AAUCAACGCGGGCGGCGUGCCUAACACAUGCAAGUCGCACGAGAAAGGGACUUCGGUCCUGAGUAAAGUGGCGCACGGGUGAGUAACACGUGACUAAUCUACCCUCGAGUGGGGAAUAACCUAGGGAAACCUGGGCUAAUACCGCAUAACACUUACGAGUCAAAGCAGCAAUGCGCUUGGGGAGGAGGUCGCGGCAGAUUAGCUAGUUGGUGGGGUAAUGGCCCACCAAGGCGAUGAUCUGUAUCCGGCCUGAGAGGGCGCACGGACACACUGGAACUGAAACACGGUCCAGACUCCUACGGGAGGCAGCAGUGGGGAAUUUUGCGCAAUGGGGGAAACCCUGACGCAGCAACGCCGCGUGGAGGAUGAAGUCUCUUGGGACGUAAACUCCUUUCGACAGGGACGAUAAUGACGGUACCUGUAGAAGAAGCCCCGGCUAACUUCGUGCCAGCAGCCGCGGUAAUACGAGGGGGGCAAGCGUUGUUCGGAAUUAUUGGGCGUAAAGGGCGCGUAGGCGGUUUGGCAAGUUUGGUGUGAAAUCUUCGGGCUCAACUCGAAGUCUGCAUCGAAAACUGCCG
Molecule: ribosomal RNA, 578 nt
Filed under: uncultured bacterium
Lineage: Bacteria
Description: bacterial SSU rRNA
Rfam family: Bacterial small subunit ribosomal RNA
Source: RNAcentral